This 497-nucleotide ribosomal RNA is filed under the name uncultured bacterium. RNAcentral's name for it is "partial 16S ribosomal RNA". It matches the Rfam family "Bacterial small subunit ribosomal RNA", at positions 28 to 507 of the family's 1533-position model. The record is from RNAcentral.
GACGAACGCUGGCGGCGUGCCUAAUACAUGCAAGUAGAACGCUGAAGAGAGGAGCUUGCUCUUCUUGGAUGAGUUGCGAACGGGUGAGUAACGCGUAGGUAACCUGCCUUGUAGCGGGGGAUAACUAUUGGAAACGAUAGCUAAUACCGCAUAACAAUGGAUGACCCAUGUCAUUUAUUUGAAAGGGGCAAAUGCUCCACUACAAGAUGGACCUGCGUUGUAUUAGCUAGUAGGUGAGGUAACGGCUCACCUAGGCGACGAUACAUAGCCGACCUGGGAGGGUGAUCGGCCACACUGGGACUGAGACACGGCCCAGACUCCUACGGGAGGCAGCAGUAGGGAAUCUUCGGCAAUGGGGGCAACCCUGACCGAGCAACGCCGCGUGAGUGAAGAAGGGUUUCGGAUCGUAAAGCUCUGUUGUAAGUCAAGAACGAGUGUGAGAGUGGAAAGUUCACACUGUGACGGUAGCUUACCAGAAAGGGACGGCUAACUACGUG